Molecule: RNA transcript, 1467 nt
Organism: Oncorhynchus nerka (sockeye salmon)
Lineage: Eukaryota; Metazoa; Chordata; Actinopteri; Salmoniformes; Salmonidae
Gene name: putative nuclease HARBI1
Exons: 4
Source: RefSeq, a predicted model, not a curated record
CACCAGGUGUGGCCACUAGCCUAUAUGAAGGCCCAAAAUUGUGUGUUCCUUUCUGCUCUGACAAUGGCAUGCCCAUUCGUGCGAGAUGUGGUGGAUGAAGAAGCACUUGUGCUGAGGAGAGCCUUCAGGCGAGAAAGGGUCUUCAGGGACCGGUUGGACCCACUGGCCUUCCCUGAUGACCAUCUAUAUGAAAGAUACAGGUUUUCUGCAGAUGGCAUCAGGUAUCUAUGCAGACUACUGGGUCCCAGGAUUAAGCACCGCACUGCACGGAGCCAUGCACUGAGUGUGGAGCAAAUGGUUUGUGUGGCCUUGCGCUUUUUGCUAGUGGAGCCUUCCUGUACUCAGUGGGGGAUGCAGAACAGCUGAACAAGGCCACAAUUUGCCGCACAAUAAGGAGUGUGUGUCUGGCUAUCAAAGCAUUAGCAGAUGUCUUCAUCUCCUUCCCUGGCCACAGAAGACUCUGUGACAUCAAAGAGGAGUUCUAUAGGAUUGCAGGUUUCCCCAAUGUCAUUGGUGCAGUGGACUGCACACACAUAAGGAUAAAAGCCCCUCAGGUGCCCAUGAGGCCGAUUUUGUGAAUAGGAAAUCCUUUCACAGCAUUAAUGUUCAGAUGGUCUGCAAUGCUGACUGUGUGAUCAGCAAUGUUGUGGCAAAAUGGCCUGGCUCAGUCCAUGACUCCAGAAUCUUUCGGGCCUCUGAAAUCUAUCAGUGCCUAUCACAAGGUGAAUUCUCUGGUGUGUUGCUGGGAGACAGGGGGUAUGGCUGCCAGCCUUUUCUCCUGACACCUUUCACAGACCCCCAGGAAGCACAGCAGGCCUAUGCCCAUGCCAGGACCAGGGCCAGAGUUGAAAUUACCUUUGGCCUCCUGAAGGCACGCUUUCACUGCCUUCACAAAUUAAGGGUCAGCCCUGUUAGGGCAUGUGAUAUUACUGUGGCUUGUGCUGUCCUCCACAAUGUGGCCUGCCUGAGGAAGGAGAGUGCCCCCAGAGUGCCACCAGCCAUGGACUGGGACAAUCCGGCAAUCUUCCCUGAUGACGACAGUGGUCGGCUGCUGAGGGACCAAUAUGUGUUGAAUUAUUUUAGUUAGUAUGUGUGCUUUCAAUUUUGGUUAAAUAUGUCCUGCGGUAGCAGAGGAAUUUGGGUUUUUUUGGGUUCGUUUUUGACGAAUUUGGCCUCUUAUGAUGUUUGUGCGGUAUACUGUGUGUAAUACAAGGCUGCAGGGAGGCUACUGCAUCCAUUCAUUUGUCUGUUCAGUUGAUGUGUAUGGAUUUGUCCUGCAUUUAUUUUAGUGUGCAGACAUGCAGGGUGUGUUAUAUACAGACCUUUGAAUGUGUAUGUAUCAUUUUGUAUAAUAUGCUUGGAUUCUGUGCUUUCCAUCUUGUAGAGUCACUGUGACUUCAGUUUCGAAAGGAGCUGAUGGUUUACCUGCUUUGUUUUGUCCUUAUUCAAUAAAGGAACCUAAUGUUA